GCGAUCGUAGCUCAGUUGGUAGAGCACCGGGUUGUGAUCCUGGAAGUCGCGGGUUCAAGUCCCGUCGGUCGCC
RNAcentral lists this transfer RNA (73 nucleotides) under Phycisphaerae bacterium. RNAcentral's name for it is "tRNA-His". It matches the Rfam family "tRNA". From Rfam's summary of the family: Transfer RNA (tRNA) molecules are approximately 80 nucleotides in length. RNAcentral also lists the same sequence under 1 other name. Lineage: Bacteria; Pseudomonadati; Planctomycetota; Phycisphaerae. The record is from RNAcentral.